Long non-coding RNA from Equus caballus (horse), 2100 nucleotides. NCBI's taxonomy places the organism in Eukaryota, Metazoa, Chordata, Mammalia, Perissodactyla, Equidae. The record is from Ensembl.
AAGGAAAUGCAUCCCGUGCUGUCCCUUUAAAUGGGUCUGACUUACCUGUGCCCCACAGAGGGCAAGGAAAGCACACAACUGGCAGCAACAUACCUCAAGAUUUUCCUGAAAGACCUAAACCACAAAGGAACUAAUUUCCUCAUAUCCAGGAAGGCUAAGCUCUCUUAUGGCCGCAAUUAAAAUCCAUCUGUGUUCCUCUAUUAAUGUGGAUCCAGUGUGUAGGUAAGAACUUGGCAGAGUGACAGAGGAUAUCUUUGUCUAGGGGCAAAAGUAAUUUAUUAAGAUGUGAAGGGAGAUGGACAGAUGUCCCUUGAAUUAAUGAUAAGAAAGCUGUCUUGGGGUUAUAUCAGUAGUAGUAUUUUAAAUGUGCUGGUUGGGAUGAUUUCUGAUGUUUCAGAGGACGACCUUUGAAUUCAGCCUCAAAUCCUGAGGCCAAAAGUUUCAAGGACUUCUGAGAUUCAUGCCUGGGUUGAAUUAUCUCUCCCUAGUUGUGAACUUUGGCAAAGUUACAGAACUGCUACUGCCCUGCCAGAAAGUUGGCCAUUCCUGUAGAGACUGAUAAAUCAUUCUUGAUCUGGCCAGAAUUCUCAUCACACUUUACUCAUUGAUCCACGGAAAGCAAAUUAAUAGCACAAGUAGGAAGGUAAGGCAUAUGAUGCGAGUUAUUUGCCAAGUGGGCCACUGCUCUGGCAUGCAUUUGGUGAUACAUGUCGGUACUGGACAUGCUUUCAGCAUUUAGAUCUGACCCAUUAAUCCAAUAGCUGGGACAUCAAGCAACACACUCUUUGGGGCCACCCUCUACAUUGAAUCAUCGCAGUUUGGUCACCUUCUCCUGGAAUCUCUCAGUAAGCCCUUAAAUAGGAUGAUGUAAUUUUAUAUCUAAUCCACUAAACACAAUUUCCAUAGGACACAUUUCACAUAAUACAGAUAAGUCAGAUAUUUUACUGCCUGAAUAUGGCUCAAUGGAGAUGAAACUCUUUUUAAGCAGGAUUUUAAAAUUUUAGGACAUAUUAGCAAAAAUCGUGCUAAGGAUGAGAGUACCCACAUUAACUAGAAUGAAGAGGAAAAAUAAUCAGAAAACCAGACUUAUGAGAUGGCAAAUUAGGCAGCAUCUGUUCAUCUUGGCAGGACUCCUUGAAAUAACUUUACACUAUCCAAGGCUGGCACUUGGCACAGCCAAAGAGGCUCAUUGAUUGAACGAGCCUGAAUCUCCAGCUAGAUCUGGAUAACAAACCUCUUCUGUCUCCAGGCUGGACUUCCAACUUCUCUGAUUAUUUUCCAGGGCAUUCAUGGCACGUUGUAAGUCUUCAAUAAAUGCUUGAUGAAUGAAUGAAUGAAUGCUUUCGUAACAUCAUCAUCAUUUCCCAAACAUCAAGCUGAAAUUCAAUUGGCAAUCCCUGACACAAGAAAUGCACAGGAGAAUGGAGAGACACAUAGAUUUAAGGAAAAGAUGUCAACUGGGGAGGCGGAUAGUCAGGACUGCCAGUGUGUCAGUGCCUCCUGUCCCUGACUAUCCCCGGUACAGUCAUCACCCCCGACAAUGUGAAGGCAACUGCCCUACAACUCACAGAAGAAGAAGAAGAAGAAAGAAUGGCCAAUAAACGUGUGAAAAUAUAUCAAAUUCAUUAGUAAUCGGGCAAAUAAAACAUCAGUGACGUACCAUUUCAUAUCCAUCAGAUUGGCAAAAAUUUUGAAGUCUGAUGACACUAAGUAGGGGAAACAAGAACUUUCAGCCCCUGCUGGGGGACGUGUAAAUUAAUAGAACCACAUCAGAGAGCAACUUGUCAAUCUUGAAUGAAGUGGAAGAUUUAUGAUAUUCUAUGACCCAGAAAUUCUGCCUCUACGUAUAUCCCUAGAGAAACUCUCCCACAUGUAUUUCAAGGAUGUUAUUUGAAGUGUUGUGUUAUAAUAGGGAAAAAUUAGAAACAUAGGUGUACAUUAAUAAGAGAAUGGAUAAAUAAAUUCACAUAUAUUCAAACGAUGCCAUACUGUGUAGCAGUGAAGUCAAUAAACUUGAUAUAUCAACAUAGAUAGAUUCCAAAAACAAAAUGUUCAGCGAGAAAAGCAAGUUGGGGAUGAGAUGCCAUAUAGUAUGACAAC